RNAcentral lists this ribosomal RNA (301 nucleotides) under uncultured bacterium. RNAcentral's name for it is "partial 16S ribosomal RNA". It matches the Rfam family "Bacterial small subunit ribosomal RNA", at positions 509 to 808 of the family's 1533-position model. The record is from RNAcentral.
CAGUCGCCGCGGUAAUACGUAGGUCCCGAGCGUUGUCCGGAUUUAUUGGGCGUAAAGCGAGCGCAGGCGGUUAGAUAAGUCUGAAGUUAAAGGCUGUGGCUUAACCAUAGUACGCUUUGGAAACUGUUUAACUUGAGUGCAAGAGGGGGGAGUGGAAUUCCAUGUGUAGCGGUGAAAUGCGUAGAUAUAUGGAGGAACACCGGUGGCGAAAGCGGCUCUCUGGCUUGUAACUGACGCUGAGGCUCGAAAGCGUGGGGAGCAAACAGGAUUAGAUACCCCCGUAGUCCCUGUCUCUUAUACA